Long non-coding RNA from Bufo gargarizans (Asiatic toad), 675 nucleotides. RefSeq lists it as uncharacterized. The record is from RefSeq and is a predicted model, not a curated record. The transcript is spliced from 3 exons. Lineage: Eukaryota; Metazoa; Chordata; Amphibia; Anura; Bufonidae.
CUUUCCCAGAGGAUGUGCUGAGUCCAGCAGAGCUGGGAGCCAAGGAUCCUUUUGUGGCUGAACUCUUGGAGCCCUUUAUUUCAGAAAAAGACAUGGAAGUCCUUGUACACCGUCCAGUAUCUCCGUACAGAACAGACACCCAAUCUGAAUACACAGAUUCACGUCAUCAGGUACUCCGGGUUCCAUCUACACUCCAGAGACAUAUCUGCUAUAGCUGUGAACAUCUACAGAAAUCACAAACAUGUGGUUCAUCCUAAACAUAGUCCACGAAUCGAAGCUCACUGCUUGGAAUUGCUGAACCAAACUACUGAAGACCUAAAUGAAUCCCUUCACCAAUAUGGUAAAAUUAUGGAUUUUCUGAGAUCGCUGCCUUGAGCACCAUUAAUGAGGUGUCACUUUUAACUUACGGCAAUGUGUUGAGGUCACCCUAUAAUAGACUCAUCUCUUCAACCUUUUACUAACCUCUGGAGUCUUCCCCUCUGGUUUGAAACAUGCUACCAUUACACCCAUCCUCAAAAAGCCUUUACUUGACCCAUCUUCUUUAUCCAGUAAUCACCCAAUAUCACUGUCACAAUCAUAUUGGGUGUUUGACCGUGAUGCGGUUGCUAGGGGCAACGUGUAGUUUGUGGAAUGCACGUGCACUUCCCCUUUAAGGUGUGCCAACCUGCUGUUUGG